UCUGGAAUCUUGCACAAUGGGCGAAAGCCUGAUGCAGCAACGCCGUGUGAGCGAGGAAGGUCUUCGGAUCGUAAAGCUCUGUUGUUGGGGACGAAGGGCGAAGUGUUAAUAGCUCCUAGCCUGACGGUACCCUUCGAGGAAGCCCCGCCUAACUACGUGCCAGCAGCCGCGGUAAUACGCAGGGGGCGAGCGUUGUCCGGAAUUAUUGGGCGUAAAGAGGGUUUAGGCGGCCUGGUAAGUCUGUCGUGAAAUGCUGGGGCUCAACCCUGGCACGUGCGAUGGAUACUGCUAGGCUAGAGGAUGGUAGAGGCGAGUGGAAUUCCCGGUGUAGCGGUGAAAUGCGCAGAUAUCGGGAGGAACACCAGUAGCGAAGGCGGCUCGCUGGGCCAUUCCUGACGCUGAGACGCGAAAGCGUGGGGAGCAAACAGGAUUAGAUACCCGGGUAGUCC
This 449-nucleotide ribosomal RNA is filed under the name uncultured prokaryote. Its description in RNAcentral is "bacterial SSU rRNA". It matches the Rfam family "Bacterial small subunit ribosomal RNA", at positions 355 to 796 of the family's 1533-position model. The record is from RNAcentral.